UGGGGGAUAUUGCACAAUGGGCGAAAGCCUGAUGCAGCGACGCCGCGUGGGGGAUGAAGGCCUUCGGGUUGUAAACUUCUUUUGCUCUGAACAAGGCAUGCCUUUGGGGAGUGUUGAGUGUAGGGGUUGAUUAGCGCCGGCUAACUACGUGCCAGCAGCCGCGGUAAUACGUAGGGCGCGAGCGUUGUCCGGAAUUAUUGGGCGUAAAGGGCUUGUAGGUGGCUGGUUGCGUCUGUCGUGAAAGCUCAUGGCUUAACUGUGGGUUUGCGGUGGGUACGGGCUGGCUUGAGUGCAGUAGGGGAGGCUGGAAUUCCUGGUGUAGCGGUGGAAUGCGCAGAUAUCAGGAGGAAUACCGGUGGCGAAGGCGGGUCUCUGGGCUGUUACUGACGCUGAGGAGCGAAAGCGUGGGGAGCGAACAGG
Molecule: ribosomal RNA, 420 nt
Filed under: Fusobacteriota bacterium
Lineage: Bacteria; Fusobacteriati; Fusobacteriota
Description: Fusobacteria bacterium partial 16S ribosomal RNA
Rfam family: Bacterial small subunit ribosomal RNA
Source: RNAcentral